This 491-nucleotide ribosomal RNA is filed under the name uncultured bacterium. RNAcentral's name for it is "partial 16S ribosomal RNA". It matches the Rfam family "Bacterial small subunit ribosomal RNA", at positions 29 to 506 of the family's 1533-position model. The record is from RNAcentral.
AGUGAACGCUGGCGGUAGGCCUAACACAUGCCAGUCGAACGGCAGCACAGUAAGAGCUUGCUCUUACGGGUGGCGAGUGGCGGACGGGUGAGGAAUACAUCGGAAUCUACUUUUUCGUGGGGGAUAACGUAGGGAAACUUACGCUAAUACCGCAUACGACCUACGGGUGAAAGCAGGGGAUCUUCGGACCUUGCGCGAUUGAAUGAGCCGAUGUCGGAUUAGCUAGUUGGCGGGGUAAAGGCCCACCAAGGCGACGAUCCGUAGCUGGUCUGAGAGGAUGAUCAGCCACACUGGAACUGAGACACGGUCCAGACUCCUACGGGAGGCAGCAGUGGGGAAUAUUGGACAAUGGGCGCAAGCCUGAUCCAGCCAUACCGCGUGGGUGAAGAAGGCCUUCGGGUUGUAAAGCCCUUUUGUUGGGAAAGAAAAGCAGCAGGUUAAUACCCCGCUGUCCUGACGGUACCCAAAGAAUAAGCACCGGCGAACUGCGU